GUGUUCACCAACGAAGAUGAGAUUUAUCAAGAUUUGUCAAGCAAAUCUUCAAUGGCGACUUGUUGAACGUCAUCCUUUCAUACUAACCAUAAACACCACAUGUUUUUGAGCUUCAGAAUGGUUCUUGACAAGCAUGCGUCUUUAUUCAAAGUGUAGUGGCUGAGAAUCAGGAAAGAAAGGCACAUCCUGUCGAAGGAGCUAUGUAUGGGUUGUCUGAACUGUCUUCUCAGUUCCCACAACUCAAUCCUUUUGAGCUGAAAUGGAUGGUGAGCCAAGGGUGAAAUACUUGAAGAAGACACCUUUUCAGUUGUAUGUUCUUGAAGAAACUUUUGCUGUGAAUAAAUAUCUAUCGGACCAGGAUCGAGCAUACUUUGGAUGAGUGAUGACCAUGAUUCAAUUCUGAGCUUCAGGUUCUUGACAAGCAGGUCGUCUUUAUUCAAAUUGUAGUCGCUGAGAAUCAGGAAAGAAAAGCACAUCCUGUUGAAGGAGCUAUGCAUGGGUUGUCCGAACUGUAUUCGCAACAUGCUGCACUACAGACAAAUGUUAUUCGAUUGCAAGGGAUGAUUGAGGCGGUCAACAAUGAGAAUCAACUUUUAGAAAUGGAUCUUGGUUUUUUGGAGCAAAAUAUCGCCGAUCAAAAUGGCCACAAUUAACAACUUACAGCAGCAAGCUGCCUCUGAGGGCUCGGCAGUUUAAGGAAAAUGGUAUAUUAUUUGCCUCUGAAUUAGGGUUCAUGUGGGUUUUAGGGUUUCAUACUUUCAUUAAUGUAAUGCUUAGCUGGGUAUCUUGGGUAGAAUUUUAAAACUUGAUCUGCAAAGUCAUUGAACAGAGUUUUUGUGCAUAUAUUUAAAAAAAAAAAAAAACUUGUUAACUUUGUGUAAAUUAACUAUGUUACCCUUUAACUUGUUUGUUUUGA
Molecule: long non-coding RNA, 916 nt
Organism: Helianthus annuus (common sunflower)
Lineage: Eukaryota; Viridiplantae; Streptophyta; Magnoliopsida; Asterales; Asteraceae
Exons: 3
Source: RefSeq, a predicted model, not a curated record